This 540-nucleotide long non-coding RNA is filed under the name Zostera marina. RNAcentral describes it as "long non-coding RNA (ZMAR_LNC002514)". The record is from RNAcentral. Lineage: Eukaryota; Viridiplantae; Streptophyta; Magnoliopsida; Alismatales; Zosteraceae.
CGCCCAUCCGAUCAGAAUAAUCUCUAUCACAAACAGAGUAGUUGAAUCGGUGAAGUAUUCAACCUCACCGGCUGUGUACCACGACGGAGUGUUCAGAAUUCCGAUCUUAGUCAGAAGCUCUGGUAUGAAGAUCCCGGCCGCACCAAGCAUUGCCCAUCUGCCAUGCACUAUCUCCGCCUGUACAUUCCACUUCAAACUGUCUGGGUCCGAUGCUGUAAACCACAGUUCCAAUGAAAAAUGAACAUAUCUGUGUAUGAUAUGAUUGAUUCAUCGAUUGAUAUGAUUGAUCGAUUACUUACAAAGACCAAGUGGGUCGAAGCCGAAGUCAGCUGGGAGAGAGCCAUCGAGCCAUUCCGGAGGAGUGCUUCCGGGGAACCAAAUAGGACGUUCAGCUGUGGCCGCGGCAUAAACGGAGAAGGUAGUAGAUUUCCUGGCUAUGGAUAAAGAUGAUGCAUACCUCUCUUGCCUGAGUUUCCUCCCGCCAAAGAAGGAAGUUUUUGUUGCACCCAAUCCAUUCUGAGAACUGCAAAAACCAAGUGG